GUACACUCCUACGGGAGGCAGCAGUGGGGAAUAUUGGACAAUGGGCGCAAGCCUGAUCCAGCCAUGCCGCGUGAGUGAUGAAGGCCCUAGGGUUGUAAAGCUCUUUCACCGGUGAAGAUAAUGACGGUAACCGGAGAAGAAGCCCCGGCUAACUUCGUGCCAGCAGCCGCGGUAAUACGAAGGGGGCUAGCGUUGUUCGGAUUUACUGGGCGUAAAGCGCACGUAGGCGGACUAUUAAGUCAGGGGUGAAAUCCCGGGGCUCAACCCCGGAACUGCCUUUGAUACUGGUAGUCUUGAGUUCGAGAGAGGUGAGUGGAAUUCCGAGUGUAGAGGUGAAAUUCGUAGAUAUUCGGAGGAACACCAGUGGCGAAGGCGGCUCACUGGCUCGAUACUGACGCUGAGGUGCGAAAGCGUGGGGAGCAAACAGGAUUAGAAACCCGAGUAGUCCAUG
RNAcentral lists this ribosomal RNA (451 nucleotides) under uncultured organism. RNAcentral describes it as "partial 16S ribosomal RNA". It matches the Rfam family "Bacterial small subunit ribosomal RNA", at positions 331 to 799 of the family's 1533-position model. The record is from RNAcentral.